RNAcentral lists this long non-coding RNA (302 nucleotides) under Gossypium barbadense (sea-island cotton). RNAcentral's name for it is "long non-coding RNA (GBAR_LNC007023)". The record is from RNAcentral. Lineage: Eukaryota; Viridiplantae; Streptophyta; Magnoliopsida; Malvales; Malvaceae.
UGGCUUUUUUUGGGGGUUUAGGUUUUUCUUCUUUUUUUUGGGUUAGGUUUUUUUUUGGGUUAAUGGGCUUUUGAAUUGGGUUUUAUAUUUGGGUUUUGUAAUGGGUUUGGGUAGAUGUAAAUGGGUCAUGGGUUAAGGGUUUUAGUGGGUUUAGAGGUUUGGUUGGGUUUUGAUAUAAUCGGGCCCGGGCAAUUUGGGCUUCUACAACGCCUGUGUCAUUGGGCCCUGUAACUCUCUAACUAUGAUGUCAGCACCAAAAUAAGGUCACACGGCCAUACCACAUGCCCGUGUGGCCAGACUGC